UUGUAAUAAUCCAGCAUCAUCCUGAAUGAUAACACUGAAUUAUUCAGGAGGCUCCUUAAAAGGGGGGUUAAAUCAAGGCUGAAACAAAAGAGGAGCGAGGCCAUUGUGAGGCCUGGCUCUUCCCACUGCGGAAUCCGGGCAGGAGAAGGGAAGCAGGGCCGGGAAAAGUCCUUCCAGAGUCACCCAGAGGAGCAGAAUGGACUCGGUGGCGUGGCAGGGCAGAGCUAUCCAGAAGGGUUUGAUAUCUGACCAGGAGCCACCAUCCCAAGUGCUGGAAUGCAAGAUCCAUGCCAGGGCUGGAGUUUCCCUGGAUUUUCUCCAGGGAGGACCCUGCUGCUGCCUCAGGGGACACAGGAUGGUGACAGGCAUGGUGACAGUGGUGCUUCCCAAACCUCCCUUCCCGGGUGAGGGAUAAAGCCGGGAUUUGUUUUAUCCUCACCCAGCUGUGCUUAAGCUCAUCCAGGCUGCAGAGGAGGAGCUUUUCCUCAGAGGGAAUCAAUCCCAGAAUCUCCUGAGCUGGAAGAGACCACAAAGAUCACUGAGUUAAACUCCCAGGACACCCCAAAAAUCCCACCUGAGAGCCUUUUCCAAGCACCACCAGCCCCUCUGCCUGCAGCGUGACAGCCUUGGGCUGCCUAAACAAACAGCUUUAGGACAACAUUUUACCUGGGAGAGUUUCUUUUUCCCUUCCCUUUGUAAUUCCACCCAGGACAGCAGCACCUCCAAACCCAUCCCUUCCCCUCCUAAACCUCUCCUUUAACCAUUUGUUAAAGACUUUUCCCCUCCACAUUGCCUUUUUUUUUAUUUUAAAAUAUCUUUUUUUUAAGCCUAGAGCAGCUAACAAAACCAAAGCAAGGCGGGGAGCGUGAGAAGAGCCUGAUGAAAUAUUGAAGAUUUGAAGAUGAUAUCUUUAUUUUAUUUAUUUUCCGUUGGGUUUGUUGGCGGAUUUUGCGCGGGAUGAGCCCGGAGGAGGUCACCCAGCGCUCUGGGGUGGCUCCAUAUUGCAGGGAGCUGUGCUGGCUUCGGAGCCAGCUGGGCCACCAGCCCCAGGCCUUUGUGGCCCGGCUUUGUGGCCCCGCCGAGCGCGCACAAAGUCGAUGGUGGGGCGGCUUUGUUCCCUCCCCGCGGAAAAACAACAACAAAAAUAACCCCCAAAAAAAGCGCCGGGCAUUGACAAGGUGAUGAAUUCCUUCACUGCUGCGCCUCAUAAUGGACUCGAGCGCUGCUGCCCUGGCUCGGAGCGGGGAAAAAACAAAAAAACCAACAAAACCGAGCUCGUCUCCCACUGCUUCGCUCCUUGGAACCUGAUUUUUUCCCACUAACUGCUCCCUGAUUUAUGGAGCCUCUCCUGCGCCGGGCGGCCGUGGCUCCGGGCGUUUGGCAUUCGCUGACAUUUCGCUGCAGCAACUGUGAAAGGGCAAAUUUUCCUGGAAACAGAGCUGCAGAGGGAAAGCAGCCGGAGCUGCCUGCCCUCCCCUCGCCCCGAGCCGGGCAGGGACCUGGAGCAUCUCUGAGAGAGGCUGGAGCUCCCCAGGCUCCCUUUUCCAUCCAGGAUAUCCCAAAUCCUGCCCUCCCUGCCCCUCCCUGGAGUUUCCGUGCUCAGGGAAGGACUCACCAAGCACGGGUUAUUUUCUCUUUUUUUUUUCCCCAGAAUAUCUUGAUGGAUGGGGAUUUUUGGGAUGAGUUUCCCUCCCCUCCUCCUCUCCAGCAGGGUGUCCUGCUGCCUUGACCCCUUUAUCCUGUCCCGCUGUUCACCUUGGGAAGGGAAGCAAACAAAGCCUGGCAGGGAUGAACCUUCCUGCCCGAGCUCUAAAUCAGCCCCGGGGCAGCUCCAGGCCAAAGGCAGCCAGGAGCCCCCGAUCCCAGAUGGAAAAUCCAGGCUUUUCCUGCAUCUGGAACCCCUCUGGAGCAUCUUUUGACUGCAGGCAUUUCUUGGGAGAGCAGGAGAGCUUUCCAGGGAAGCUGGCAUGCAAGGCUUGGUAAUAAGAAUAAAUGAGAGCACUUUGGUGAGCUCCUUCAGAGCUGCUGGCUCCUUCCCUCUCCCUGAUUCGGGGAAGAUUGAGUUUUCAGGGCGAGCCUGCUGCUGCUGAGCCUCAUUUCAGCAGAGCUUUUUCCAGUGUGGAAUGGUUUUAAUCCAGGUUUCGGCUCCUGGAGUCAAGUGAUGUCAGCAGAAAA
Molecule: non-coding RNA, 2175 nt
Organism: Cyanistes caeruleus (blue tit)
Lineage: Eukaryota; Metazoa; Chordata; Aves; Passeriformes; Paridae
Source: RefSeq, a predicted model, not a curated record